Small nucleolar RNA from Echinops telfairi (small Madagascar hedgehog), 121 nucleotides. RefSeq annotates it as small nucleolar RNA SNORA61. The transcript has a single exon. Lineage: Eukaryota; Metazoa; Chordata; Mammalia; Afrosoricida; Tenrecidae. The record is from RefSeq and is a predicted model, not a curated record.
ACUCUCCAGAUGCCUUACCCAUCAGACCUAAAAUCUGGUCUGAGUGGUUAUCAAAGGAGAAAAAAUAAAAUCAAAACUAACUUAAAUUAUCUUGUGAUACAUAAGCUAGUUUCAGACAAAA